This 774-nucleotide ribosomal RNA is filed under the name Marine Group I thaumarchaeote. RNAcentral's name for it is "bacterial SSU rRNA". It matches the Rfam family "Archaeal small subunit ribosomal RNA", at positions 1 to 778 of the family's 1478-position model. The record is from RNAcentral. Lineage: Archaea; Thermoproteati; Nitrososphaerota.
CAGAAUCCGGUUGAUCCUGCCGGACCUGACUGCUAUCGGAUUGAUACUAAGCCAUGCGAGUCUUUGUAGUAAUACAAGGCAGACGGCUCAGUAACGCGUAGUCAACCUACCCUAUGGACGGGAAUAAUCUCGGGAAACUGAGCAUAAUACCCGGCGUACCACCAUUCCUGGAAUGGUUGGUGGUUAAAAUGAUUCGUCGCCGUAGGAUGGGACUGCGACCUAUCAGCUUGUUGGUGAGGUAAAGGCCCACCAAGGCGAUUACAGGUACGGGCUCUGAGAGGAGAAGCCCGGAGAUGGGUACUGAGACACGGACCCAGGCCCUAUGGGGCGCAGCAGGCGAGAAAACUUUGCAAUGUGCGAAAGCACGACAAGGUUAAUCCGAGUGAUUUCUGCUAAAGGAAUCUUUUGCCAGUUCUAAAAAUACUAGUGAAUAAGGGGUGGGCAAGUUCUGGUGUCAGCCGCCGCGGUAAAACCAGCACCUCAAGUGGUCAGGAGGAUUAUUGGGCCUAAAGCAUCCGUAGCCUGCUCUGUAAGUUUUCGGUUAAAUCUAUAUGCUCAACGUAUAGGCUGCCGAAAAUACUGCAGUGCUAGGAAGUGGGAGAGGUAGACGGUACUUGAUAGGAAGGGGUAAAAUCCUUUGAUCUAUCGAUGACCACCUGUGGCGAAGGCGGUCUACCAGAACACGUUCGACGGUGAGGGAUGAAAGCUGGGGGAGCAAACCGGAUUAGAUACCCGGGUAGUCCCAGCUGUAAACGAUGCAGACUCGAUGAUGCA